GGUUGGGCAGUGAGGAGGGUGUGA
Molecule: microRNA, 24 nt
Filed under: Homo sapiens (human)
Lineage: Eukaryota; Metazoa; Chordata; Mammalia; Primates; Hominidae
Description: hsa-miR-3147
Source: miRBase by way of RNAcentral